UACAGAGGUCUCAAGCGUUGUUCGGAUUCAUUGGGCGUAAAGGGUGCGUAGGUGGCGCUGUAAGUCGGGUGUGAAAUUUCGGAGCUUAACUCCGAAACUGCAUUCGAUACUGCGGUGCUUGAGGACUGGAGAGGAGACUGGAAUUCAUGGUGUAGCAGUGAAAUGCGUAGAGAUCCGGAGGAACACCAGCGGCGAAGGCGGCAUCCUGGACUGGUCCUGACACUCAUGAGCGAAAGCGUGGGGAGCAAACAGG
Molecule: ribosomal RNA, 253 nt
Filed under: uncultured bacterium
Lineage: Bacteria
Description: partial 16S ribosomal RNA
Rfam family: Bacterial small subunit ribosomal RNA
Source: RNAcentral